UCUCGUCUGAUGACAUCGAGC
This 21-nucleotide unclassified non-coding RNA is filed under the name Mus musculus (house mouse). Its description in RNAcentral is "oocyte_clustered_small_RNA5335". Lineage: Eukaryota; Metazoa; Chordata; Mammalia; Rodentia; Muridae. The record is from RNAcentral.